AGAGAACUUGAACACAGGUGCUGCAUGGCCGUCGUCAGCUCGUGUCGUGAGAUGUUGGGUUAAGUCCCGCAACGAGCGCAACCCUUGUCAUUAGUUGCUACGAAAGGGCACUCUAAUGAGACUGCCGGUGACAAACCGGAGGAAGGUGGGGAUGACGUCAGGUCCUCAUGGCCCUUAUGGGUAGGGCUACACACGUCAUACAAUGGCCGGUACAGAGGGCUGCCAACCCGCGAGGGGGAGCCAAUCCCAGAAAACCGGUCGUAGUCCGGAUCGCAGUCUGCAACUCGACUGCGUGAAGUCGGAAUCGCUAGUAAUCGCGGAUCAGCUUGCCGCGGUGAAUACGUUCCCGGGUCUUGUACACACCGCCCGUCACACCAUGGGAGCGGGUUCUGCCAGAAGUAGUUAGCCUAACCGCAAGGAGGGCGAUUACCACGGCAGGGUUCGUGACUGGGGUGAAGUCGUAACAAGGUAGCCGUA
Molecule: ribosomal RNA, 477 nt
Filed under: uncultured bacterium
Lineage: Bacteria
Description: bacterial SSU rRNA
Rfam family: Bacterial small subunit ribosomal RNA
Source: RNAcentral